UCUACCUGUGGCGGCCCAGAGUAUCCGGCGGCGUAGGCGAUGGGGAACAACAGGCGAAGGCCGGGCGUCCUCUCUCCCUGGCCCCCCUCUCUUCCAUGGAGAGGAUCCACCAUCCCCUUCUUCAUCAGCGACGGCCGUCGGACGCUACUGAUGGGUGAUGAGAGGUAGGACGAGAUCCCGGCUGAGCAGUGCAUCCCAUCAAACCCAGAGGAGGAAUGGAGAGUGUCAGCCCUCUUCCCAGCCGGCUGGAGGAGGGGCGGCGCCAGCCAGGCCCGAUGGUUCCAGGGCGCUUGGACCUCGACGAUUCUUUGGUUUUGAUGGGGUUUCCAAUUUUUGUUUACAAGGGCACAUGUUCUGGAUGGUGUUAUUUAUCAGAUCAGGGAGACCGAAUGAUUCAGUUCAGGGUCCUUAUUUGAGAACAUGCAGCAUUGCAGCCUGCCCACAAUGCGACACAAUCCUCUCCAUUGGAUGUGCACAUAUGAGACCUCGGCGCUGCACAUCCAUGUUGUUAUCUCCGCUGGCCGCCGGGGCAUAUGGUUCAGCGGAGAUAUACACACCAACAAACCUUCCUUCUGAAAUGCCGGAGGUUACCCACAAAUCCGCCCAGCCAGUACCCUAUGCCUGGGAGUGGUGGCACGAGCACUAGCAUAGCCGAAGAAGUGAAGAGGAGAACCGCCGCCUCGAUCUGGACAGGACGAGUUUGGACUGCCACCGCCGCCUCCUGCCUUUCGUCGCCUCUACGGAUCGUGCACCUCCCCGCUAGCGUUACCUGAAAGUUGCAGCAAGGCCAACCGGUGUCAAGUUUACACAUCCACUAUCUGCAGUGUUGUUUGGGUGCCCCACUACUCGGGCAGUCGGAUGACAACCAAAGCUCUAAGAAGAGCUGGCCAACACCAAGAUCGUCCGUCCAUCUGCUUCAAUGUUAUAUUACCCCAGGUAAUCAAUACUCUGUCCACUUCCAAGUCAGUUCUUUGUGUUGUGUGGAAUUGAUUUGGAAAAGCUGAUACACUUGGGGCACAUGUUUAUUUGUAUAUCAAUGCAUUGAUCGGAUCAUCACCUUGCAACCGCUGGUGAUACGCACUUGGUACAAAUACCUGUGAUGGCUAAUCUACCGUGCAAGUUUCAGGGAAUAAGUAUAGAGCUAGCCUUAGCUUGGUGCUACAAUGUUGCCAGAGAGACAUGGCCAUGUUCUCUCUUUUGGAGCAAAUUGUUUUAAAUCUCUCGACCCCUAUAGGACUGAUAGAAAUUAGUGGCAAACAAACAGUCGUCCUUGUGAUGGGCCGCACAUUUAGAAGCAAGAAUGCGAGCUCAUGAUUAACUAUGAUAUUCUCUCUUUGUAAUUGGUGCUCCUUUUAAAAGUAUAUACUUUCAUUUUA
Molecule: long non-coding RNA, 1376 nt
Organism: Lolium rigidum
Lineage: Eukaryota; Viridiplantae; Streptophyta; Magnoliopsida; Poales; Poaceae
Exons: 3
Source: RefSeq, a predicted model, not a curated record